Molecule: ribosomal RNA, 115 nt
Filed under: Danio rerio (zebrafish)
Lineage: Eukaryota; Metazoa; Chordata; Actinopteri; Cypriniformes; Danionidae
Source: RNAcentral
GCCGGCAGCUAGCUCUCUGCAACUCUCACAUGGUCGCCCACUGAAGCUAAGCAGGGCUGCGCCCGGUCAGUACCUGGAUGGGAGACCACAUGGGAAAGCUAGGUUGCUGCUGUAA